GGCGGUGUAGCUUAAUGGAUAGAGUAACGGUUUGCGGAACCGAGGACGAGAGUUCGAUUCUCUCCAUCGCCU
Molecule: transfer RNA, 72 nt
Filed under: Ktedonobacteraceae bacterium
Lineage: Bacteria; Bacillati; Chloroflexota; Ktedonobacteria; Ktedonobacterales; Ktedonobacteraceae
Description: tRNA-Arg
Rfam family: tRNA
About the family: Transfer RNA (tRNA) molecules are approximately 80 nucleotides in length. Their secondary structure includes four short double-helical elements and three loops (D, anti-codon, and T loops).
Source: RNAcentral